Molecule: ribosomal RNA, 396 nt
Filed under: uncultured bacterium
Lineage: Bacteria
Description: partial 16S ribosomal RNA
Rfam family: Bacterial small subunit ribosomal RNA
Source: RNAcentral
AUACGUAGGGGGCGAGCGUUGUCCGGAAUUAUUGGGCGUAAAGCGCAUGUAGGCGGUUUGGUAAGUCGGUCGUGAAAAUGCGGUGCUUAACGCCGUAUGGCGAUUGAAACUGCUGAACUUGAGUGCAGGAGAGGAAAGGGGAACUCCCAGUGUAGCGGUGAAAUGCGUAGAUAUUGGGAAGAACACCGGUGGCGAAGGCGCCUUUCUGGACUGUGUCUGACGCUCAGAUGCGAAAGCCAGGGUAGCGAACGGGAUUAGAUACCCCGGUAGUCCUGGCCGUAAACGAUGGGUACUAGGUGUGGGAGGUAUCGACUCCUUCCGUGCCGGAGUUAACGCAAUAAGUACCCCGCCUGGGGAGUACGGCCGCAAGGCUUAAACUCAAAUGAAUUGGCGGGG